ACAAAUGCAAACAAUGUAUUAUUUAAGUACUGUAUGCAUUUUUUUAUUCAUGUAUCAAUUGAUAAAGUAUUAUAUCAAUGUAUAUGGAGUUGUUACUGAGAAGCCAAGUGAAUAUCAAGGUAUGUUUUUUCUUUUUUUAUUUCUCAAUUUUUUAUUUUUCUGAGUGAAAUAUGAGUGAGUUUUGAUUUUUGUAUUUGUAUCUUAUAUUG
Molecule: long non-coding RNA, 209 nt
Filed under: Lathyrus oleraceus (garden pea)
Lineage: Eukaryota; Viridiplantae; Streptophyta; Magnoliopsida; Fabales; Fabaceae
Description: Pisum sativum (pea) long non-coding RNA (PSAT_LNC013268)
Source: RNAcentral